Molecule: vault RNA, 97 nt
Filed under: Erpetoichthys calabaricus (reedfish)
Lineage: Eukaryota; Metazoa; Chordata; Cladistia; Polypteriformes; Polypteridae
Description: Vault RNA (ENSECRG00000011532.1)
Rfam family: Vault RNA
About the family: This family of RNAs are found as part of the enigmatic vault ribonucleoprotein complex. The complex consists of a major vault protein (MVP), two minor vault proteins (VPARP and TEP1), and several small untranslated RNA molecules.
Source: Rfam by way of RNAcentral
GCGUCGGUUUAGCUCUGUGGUUACUUCACUGAGAAUUAACUUCAACUCGCGAUCCUUGGAUCAAGGGUUCCCACCACGGGCGCUGUCCGACGUUUUG